RNAcentral lists this ribosomal RNA (775 nucleotides) under uncultured Neocallimastigales. Its description in RNAcentral is "partial large subunit ribosomal RNA". It matches the Rfam family "Eukaryotic large subunit ribosomal RNA", at positions 22 to 635 of the family's 3401-position model. The record is from RNAcentral. Lineage: Eukaryota; Fungi; Neocallimastigomycota; Neocallimastigomycetes; Neocallimastigales.
GGUACACGCUGUGACUAGCAUAUCAAUAAGCGGAGGAAAAGAAACUAACAAGGAUUCCCCUAGUAACGGCGAGUGAAGCGGGAAGAGCUCAAAUUUGAAAUCUUAAAGGGUUUCCCUUUACGAAUUGUAGUUUAAAGAAGUGUUUUCUGUUGAGGUUUUGGUAAAAGUUCUUUGGAAUAGGACAUCAUAGAGGGUGAGAGUCCCGUAUUUGACCUUUACUUUCAACUUUGUGAUACACCCUCAAAGAGUCGGAUUGUUUGGGAAUGCAGUCCAAAAUGGGUGGUAAAUUUCAUCUAAAGCUAAAUAUUGGCGAGAGACCGAUAGCGAACAAGUACCGUGAGGGAAAGAUGAAAAGAACUUUGAAAAGAGAGUUAAACAGUACGUGAAAUUGUCAAAAGGGAAGCGUUUGACACCAGUGUUGUUUUUCUGAAAAUCAAUUAAAGAACUGUUUAUGCUAAGCUGUUUAGACUUUAUCAGCUAACUGUUUAGUUUUGAGCUUUUCCUUAAUGCACUUUUCAGUUAACAAGUCAACAUCAAUUUCUUUUGCUGUAAAAAAGCUUGAGGAAGGUGGCUUGAGAUUCGUCUUAAGUGUUUAUAGCCUCUUGCCUAUGCAGUCGGAGAGAUUGAGGUCUGCAGCGUAGAUCCUUCGGGGCUAAAUGCAUUUGUGCUAAGUUAUAGCAUUUUAUAGACAACUUGUUGACUAUGAUUUGUCUUGUAGCUUACUCGCUUAUGUUAUUUUACCUACGCUUAGGAUGUUGAAGAUGUAGCACAUCAU